Molecule: long non-coding RNA, 1179 nt
Filed under: Oryctolagus cuniculus (rabbit)
Lineage: Eukaryota; Metazoa; Chordata; Mammalia; Lagomorpha; Leporidae
Description: lncRNA (ENSOCUG00000032158.1)
Source: RNAcentral
AUGGUAGCAGGAGAAGUCAUUGACCCAGCCCAGCUCCUGAGGCCCCCAGGGAAUGGGAAAGUCCGGGAGGCAGAGCAGCCCUUGGCAAGCCGUCCACUGGGGCCACAGGACAACCCCAAGAACAAGAGGGCCAGCUCCUGGUGUUGGGGACGCCUCACCUCUCUUCCAUAUCCUUCAAGACCCUCACAGGGCUGUGACCCAGGUCCCCCACAGUUCAUGGAGGGGUGGGGUGGAGCCCCUCCUGGAGGGGCUCACCCAGCCUUGCUCUGGCACCACAGCCAGUCACCACUGGGCUGUUCUCAGCGAAACAAGAGUGUGUGCGCCAAGUCGGCUUCCACACUCCCCCUGCCCGCUCCCAACCCGGCAGUGGCCACUUGGAGCGUGAGAACCCUCCCCAGCUCAGACAUCAGAGCCCGAGGCCCGCGGCCACAGGUGUGGGUCAAGGGGCACCUUUGCAAGAUCUGCCUUCUCCACGCUAUCGACGCCCUCACCCCUCCUUGCAGGGCUCCUGCGUGGGGUCCCCUGCGGUGCUGGAUUUGCUGGUCCCUCCCCCAGCUCGGAGCCGACCAACAGCACAGGUGGCAUCUGCAGUCCCAGAAGAAAACACUCCAGAGUCUUUGGGGCUCCCUUUCUUGCUGCCUCCUCCACUCUCCUGUUUGCAGACAGGAAAUGCAGCGCUGUGGCCCUCCUCCACCUGGAUGUGCAAGAAAAGCUUCCCAAGUCCUCCCUUGGAGCUGGGCUCCGGGUCCAGCUCAGAGCCUGCCGGGGAAAAGUGGGCCUCCCACCAACGCCCCUGCCCUGGGUUCCCAAAGAGCCGGGAGCAGCCUCCUGGGGGGGGGGUGUGGGGAGCCCAGCGCUGGGUCCCCAGCUCGCGGCUUGCACCGCACCUGGACAGCGAGGGUCCCGCGCUGCUGUCACCUGUAUCCAGAGGGCUGGAGAGCACACGUGGCUCACGCAGGCACAGCUGAGAAGGAAGCUGUGUCCCCAGCCACCUGCCCACCCCCUGCUGUUUCCAGCUGCCCAUUCCUCCAGCCCCAGCACACUCUGUCCUCCCCCUGCUGGCCUCCCCGGGCUCAGGCCUCCCUGGACUGGCUGCCUCCCCGACUCCACAGUCCCAGAGUCACCGCGGUGAGGAGGAUCAGCCAGCAGACCCCACCCACCUUGCAGACCCUGGGCUGA